GAUGAACGCUGGCGGCGUGCCUAAUACAUGCAAGUCGAACGAAACUUCUUUAUCACCGAGUGCUUGCACUCACCGAUAAAGAGUUGAGUGGCGAACGGGUGAGUAACACGUGGGCAACCUGCCCAAAAGAGGGGGAUAACACUUGGAAACAGGUGCUAAUACCGCAUAACCAUAGUUACCGCAUGGUAACUAUGUAAAAGGUGGCUAUACUACCGCUUUUGGAUGGGCCCGCGGCGCAUUAGCUAGUUGGUAGGGUAAAGGCUUACCAAGGCAAUGAUGCGUAGCCGAAUUGAGAGGUUGAUCGGGCACAUUGGGACUGAGACACGGCCCAAACUCCUACGGGAGGCAGCAGUAGGGAAUCGUCCACAAUGGGCGAAAGCCUGAUGGAGCAACGCCGCGUGGGUGAAGAAAGUCUUCGGAUCGGAUGACCCUGUUGUUAUAGAAGAAAGCGCGUGAGAGUAACUGUUCACGUUUCGACGGUAUCUAACCAGAAAGCCACGGCUAACUACGUG
This 512-nucleotide ribosomal RNA is filed under the name uncultured bacterium. RNAcentral's name for it is "partial 16S ribosomal RNA". It matches the Rfam family "Bacterial small subunit ribosomal RNA", at positions 28 to 507 of the family's 1533-position model. The record is from RNAcentral.